UACGUAGGGCGCAAGCGUUAUCCGGAAUUAUUGGGCGUAAAAAGCUCGUAGGCGGUUUGUCGCGUCUGCCGUGAAAGUCCGGGGCUCAACUCCGGAUCUGCGGUGGGUACGGGCAGACUAGAGUGAUGUAGGGGAGACUGGAAUUCCUGGUGUAGCGGUGAAAUGCGCAGAUAUCAGGAGGAACACCGAUGGCGAAGGCAGGUCUCUGGGCAUUAACUGACGCUGAGGAGCGAAAGCAUGGGGAGCGAACAGG
Molecule: ribosomal RNA, 253 nt
Filed under: uncultured bacterium
Lineage: Bacteria
Description: partial 16S ribosomal RNA
Rfam family: Bacterial small subunit ribosomal RNA
Source: RNAcentral